AUUGACAUUAAUGUGUACACAGCACAAUGGGCUCAGCCAAUUUGUUCAAGGAUGUAGAACAAUUUCCAAGUUUAAAUAAUUUGUACUCAAUAAGCAAAAGAUGAAUAUUUGCACAAGCUAUUUAGGCUAACCAUGCAUCAAUGAAUGGUACACUGAAGCAGCCUUAUAAUUUGGUGCAAUGCCAACAAUUGCAUAGUAAGGCAGAAGGCUGAAAUUGUGCUACAUUUGGAGAAGCAAUAGCUAUACUGGCACCGGGGAAGAAGGGAAGGUGAUGUUAAGCCUUCCACAUCAAAUGGCUAGAGAGGAACUGAGUCAUGGCAAUAAACGAGGGAACAAGGUUAUUAAAAUUUGGGCUUCUACUACCAAUGAGCUUUAGAUCAAUGGUACUAGAGUCAUCUUCAAGGCUAUGAAGUCUCGUGUUUAAGCCUCAAUCGGAGCUAAUUGCACUAAAAAAGUUUGGGCUUUUAGCCUUUUACUUUGAAUCAGUGGGGACAGUAUCCUGACCCAGAGUAGGAAUGGAUCAAGA
RNAcentral lists this unclassified non-coding RNA (526 nucleotides) under Hevea brasiliensis (rubber tree). The record is from RNAcentral. Lineage: Eukaryota; Viridiplantae; Streptophyta; Magnoliopsida; Malpighiales; Euphorbiaceae.